Molecule: ribosomal RNA, 347 nt
Filed under: uncultured bacterium
Lineage: Bacteria
Description: partial 16S ribosomal RNA
Rfam family: Bacterial small subunit ribosomal RNA
Source: RNAcentral
CCUACGGGGGGCAGCAGUGAGGAAUAUUGGUCAAUGGCCGGAAGGCUGAACCAGCCAUGCCGCGUGAAGGGCAGGGACCUAGGGGCGUUAAACUUCUUUUGUGCGGGAGGAAAAAUGGUCACGUGUGGCCAGACGAGAGUACCGUACGAAGAAGCAUCGGCUAAAUCCGGGCCAGCAGCCGCGGUAAGACGGGGGAUGCAAGCGUUAUCCGGAUUUAUUGGGUUUAAAGGGUGCGUAGGCUGUGAGGUAAGUCAGCGGGGAAAUGCCCCCGCUCCACGGGGUGAAGUGCCAUUGAUACUGCCUUGCUGGACUGCGUCUGCCGUGGGCGGCAUGUGUGGUGUAGCGGU